CCGUACAGCGAGCUGCACCGCCGCCGCGAAGGCCAGCCAAAGCAGAUCGUAUGUCAGCCAUCUCGCGUCGCUACGAAAACACGACAGUCGUUCGUCAUGCCUUGGAUAUAACAGCAAAUCCUCCACGGCACCCGCUUUAUAUAACUCAAGAAGGCAGCUGCAAGGACACGAGGAUGUGAAAGAGCCAGUGCAGUGCGACUUCACGUAGUGCAGAGGAGCCAAUGCCAAAAAAUCAAAAUACAUUGCCAUGCAAUUUGGACAAGAAAACUAGGACAACCCAGGACGUGCAUUUCUCAGCACCCAGUCAAUUGCGAGAAGUGACUCGAACACAGGCCACCAGUGGCACUCGGCUGUACCACUGCAGUGCUGCGGAAAUUGCCAGCACCAGCGGCUUUGCAACAGCUGUUUCACAGCAUGUCGGAGACAAUGCCUACGAAAUUAUUGGCCCUGAUGACGAGAGCCCUCAAGGGCCAAACGAAAUCUCUGUUGCAGAAGUGAGCCCGAUACCACCUGAAGUUACCACGACAGGUGGCACGGCAGCAAUAGAUACAGAGACGGCCAUGUCUACUGCAGCUGCAACAGUGUACGAGGCAAGCAGCAGUGUGUCAGCAUCAGCAGCACUGUCAGAAGGAACCGCACCAGGCCUGGUAGAGCAACAUGUGUGCUAUCACUGCGACUUUUUUGUAGUGCAUUUGCUCAACAUACAAAAGCUUUUCACCGCGACUGUGAGCCAGUGUUCUUGCGCAGCAAGUGCAAGAUUAAGUUAGGUAGUAUAACACAGUACAAGCAUCACUUUAAAAUAUGCAAACAUAUUACAGUUGUUGCCUCCCCACCCAGCCCACAUAGCGACAACAACGUGGAACACAUGGUGGGACACACCUCUUCCCCAUUAGAAGAUAGUAAAGA
Long non-coding RNA from Dermacentor albipictus, 906 nucleotides. RefSeq lists it as uncharacterized. The record is from RefSeq and is a predicted model, not a curated record. NCBI's taxonomy places the organism in Eukaryota, Metazoa, Arthropoda, Arachnida, Ixodida, Ixodidae.